RNAcentral lists this ribosomal RNA (504 nucleotides) under uncultured bacterium. Its description in RNAcentral is "partial 16S ribosomal RNA". It matches the Rfam family "Bacterial small subunit ribosomal RNA", at positions 29 to 523 of the family's 1533-position model. The record is from RNAcentral.
AUUGAACGCUGGCGGCAGGCCUAACACAUGCAAGUCGAACGGUAGCACAGAGAGCUUGCUCUCGGGUGACGAGUGGCGGACGGGUGAGUAAUGUCUGGGAAACUGCCCGAUGGAGGGGGAUAACUACUGGAAACGGUAGCUAAUACCGCAUAACGUCGCAAGACCAAAGUGGGGGACCUUCGGGCCUCACACCAUCGGAUGUGCCCAGAUGGGAUUAGCUAGUAGGUGGGGUAAUGGCUCACCUGGGCGACGAUCCCUAGCUGGUCUGAGAGGAUGACCAGCAACACUGGAACGGAGACACGGUCCAGACUCCUACGGGAGGCAGCAGUGGGGAAUAUUGCACAAUGGGCGCAAGCCUGAUGCAGCCAUGCCGCGUGUAUGAAGAAGGCCUUCGGGUUGUAAAGUACUUUCAGCGGGGAGGAAGGCGGUGAAGUUAAUAACUUCACCGAUUGACGUUACCCGCAGAAGAAGCACCGGCUAACUCCGUGCCAGCCGCCGCGGUAA